Molecule: ribosomal RNA, 301 nt
Filed under: uncultured bacterium
Lineage: Bacteria
Description: partial 16S ribosomal RNA
Rfam family: Bacterial small subunit ribosomal RNA
Source: RNAcentral
CAGCCGCCGCGGGAAUACGUAGGGCGCAAGCGUUAUCCGGGAUUAUUGGGCGUAAAGAGCUCGUAGGCGGUUUGUCGCGUCUGCCGUGAAAGUCCGGGGCUCAACCCCGGAUCUGCGGUGGGUACGGGCAGACUAGAGUGAUGUAGGGGAGACUGGAAUUCCUGGUGUAGCGGUGAAAUGCGCAGAUAUCAGGAGGAACACCGAUGGCGAAGGCAGGUCUCUGGGCAUUAACUGACGCUGAGGAGCGAAAGCAUGGGGAGCGAACAGGAUUAGAUACCCCCGUAGUCCCUGUCUCUUAUAC